AGCAGCCGCGGUAAUUCCAGCUCCAAUAGCGUAUAUUAAAGUUGUUGCAGUUAAAAAGCUCGUAGUUGAAUUUCGGGGUCAAUACGUCGGUCGUGCCUCCGGUAUGUACUAGUGUUAUUGAUCCCUCCCUUCUGAUAAACCAUGAUGUCAUUAAUUUGGUGUCGUGGGGAGUCAGGACUGUUACUUUGAAAAAUUAGAGUGUUUAAAGCAGGCUCACGCUUGAAUACAUUAGCAUGGAAUAAUGAAAUAGGACGUUCGACCCUAUUUUGUUGGUUUCUAGGAUCAACGUAAUGAUUAAUAGGGAUAGUUGGGGGCAUUAGUAUUCAAUUGUCAGAGGUGAAAUUCUUGGAUUUAUUGAAGACUAACUACUGCGAAAGCAUUUGCCAAGGAUGUUUUCAUUAAUCAAGAACGAAAGUUAGGGGAUCGAAGACGAUCAGAUACCGUCGUAGUCUUAACCAUAAACUAUGCCGACUAGGGAUCGGAUGAUGU
This 489-nucleotide ribosomal RNA is filed under the name uncultured Glomus. RNAcentral's name for it is "SSU rRNA". It matches the Rfam family "Eukaryotic small subunit ribosomal RNA", at positions 569 to 1063 of the family's 1831-position model. Lineage: Eukaryota; Fungi; Glomeromycota; Glomeromycetes; Glomerales; Glomeraceae. The record is from RNAcentral.